RNAcentral lists this ribosomal RNA (339 nucleotides) under Pomacanthus imperator (emperor angelfish). RNAcentral's name for it is "partial 12S ribosomal RNA". It matches the Rfam family "Bacterial small subunit ribosomal RNA", at positions 843 to 1348 of the family's 1533-position model. Lineage: Eukaryota; Metazoa; Chordata; Actinopteri; Pomacanthidae. The record is from RNAcentral.
CAUAGACAGUUCAUACACCCCACUGUCCGCCCGGGAACUACGAGCGUUAGCUUAAAACCCAAAGGACUUGGCGGUGCUUUAUACCCACCUAGAGGAGCCUGUUCUAGAACCGAUAAUCCCCGUUCAACCUCACCCUUCCUUGUUCUUUCCGCCUAUAUACCGCCGUCGUCAGUUUACCCUGUGAAGGCCUAAUAGUAAGCAAAAUCGGCACAGCCCAAAACGUCAGGUCGAGGUGUAGCGUAUGGAAGGGGAAGAAAUGGGCUACAUUCCCUGUUACAGGGCAUACGAAUGAUUUUGCUGAAAUGCAUAUCUGAAGGAGGAUUUAGCAGUAAGCAGAAA